Molecule: small nuclear RNA, 112 nt
Rfam family: U5 spliceosomal RNA
About the family: U5 RNA is a component of both types of known spliceosome. The precise function of this molecule is unknown, though it is known that the 5' loop is required for splice site selection and p220 binding, and that both the 3' stem-loop and the Sm site are important for Sm protein binding and cap methylation.
Source: Rfam
UUGGAGUAGGCCCGCUCAGACCGAACUCAUUUCCUGCCUUUUACCGGAUGUGACCGUGAGUUGGCCUAAAAUACUCCAUUUCCCAAUCUUUGGAACCACCUCUCUGGGUCUC